RNAcentral lists this ribosomal RNA (497 nucleotides) under uncultured bacterium. Its description in RNAcentral is "partial 16S ribosomal RNA". It matches the Rfam family "Bacterial small subunit ribosomal RNA", at positions 28 to 507 of the family's 1533-position model. The record is from RNAcentral.
GAUGAACGCUGGCGGCGUGCCUAAUACAUGCAAGUCGAGCGAACGGACGAGAAGCUUUCUUCUCUGAUGUUAGCGGCGGACGGGUGAGUAACACGUGGAUAACCUACCUAUAAGACUGGGAUAACUUCGGGAAACCGUAGCUAAUACUGGAUAAUAUUUUGAACCGCAUGGUUCAAAAGUGAAAGACGGUCUUGCUGUCACUUAUAGAUGGAUCCGCGCUGCAUUAGCUAGUUGGUAAGGUAACGGCUUACCAAGGCAACGAUGCAUAGCCGACCUGAGAGGGUGAUCGGCCACACUGGAACUGAGACACGGUCCAGACUCCUACGGGAGGCAGCAGUAGGGAAUCUUCCGCAAUGGGCGAAAGCCUGACGGAGCAACGCCGCGUGAGUGAUGAAGGUCUUCGGAUCGUAAAACUCUGUUAUUAGGGAAGAACAUAUGUGUAAGUAACUGUGCACAUCUUGACGGUACCUAAUCAGAAAGCCACGGCUAACUACGUG